CGUAGGUAGUUGUAGUCUAGUGGUACUCGACGGACGACGCGUGGCGGCGUGGGAUUAGGCAUGCAAGUCGAACGGUAUCUAUCCUUUCGGGGGUGAGAGAGUGGCGAACUGGUGAGUAACACGUAGGUUAUCUACCCUCAAGACGGGGACAACCCAGGGAAACUUGGGCUAAUACCGGAUGUGAGCAACUUUUAGUUGUUUGAAAGGUGGCGUAAGCUGUCGCUUGGGGAUGAGCCUGCGUCCUAUUAGUUAGUUGGUGAGGUAACGGCUCACCUAGGCAAUGAUAGGUAGGCGGCCUUAACGGGUGGUCGCCCACACUGGGGAUUGAGAUACGGCCCAGACUCCUACGGGAGGCAGCAGUCGAGAAUAGUCUACAAUGGUCGGAAGACUGAUAGUGCGACGCCGCGUGAACGAUGAAUCCCUUCGGGGUGUAAAGUUCUUUUAUAUGUGAGCAGUGCUUCUUAUAUUAACAGUAUGGGGAGAGAGAUAUUAGCAUAUGAAUAAGCAACGGCUAACUCCGUG
Molecule: ribosomal RNA, 522 nt
Filed under: uncultured bacterium
Lineage: Bacteria
Description: bacterial SSU rRNA
Rfam family: Bacterial small subunit ribosomal RNA
Source: RNAcentral